RNAcentral lists this ribosomal RNA (432 nucleotides) under uncultured bacterium. Its description in RNAcentral is "partial 16S ribosomal RNA". It matches the Rfam family "Bacterial small subunit ribosomal RNA", at positions 29 to 507 of the family's 1533-position model. The record is from RNAcentral.
ACGAACGCUGGCGGCAUGCCUAACACAUGCCAGUCGAACGAGACCUUCGGGUCUAGUGGCGCACGGGUGCGUAACGCGUGGGAACCUGCCCUUAGGUUCGGAAUAACUCCCCGAAAGGGGUGCUAAUACCGGAUAAUGUCUUCGGUCCAAAGAUUUAUCGCCUUUGGAUGGGCCCGCGUUGGAUUAGCUAGUUGGUAGGGUAAAAGCCUACCAAGGCGACGAUCCAUAGCUGGUCUGAGAGGAUGAUCAGCCACACUGGGACUGAGACACGGCCCAGACUCCUACGGGAGGCAGCAGUGGGGAAUAUUGGACAAUGGGCGAAAGCCUGAUCCAGCAAUGCCGCGUGAGUGAUGAAGGCCUUAGGGUUGUAAAGCUCUUUUACCCGGGAUGAUAAUGACAGUACCGGGAGAAUAAGCUCCGGCUAACUCCGUG